This 253-nucleotide ribosomal RNA is filed under the name uncultured bacterium. Its description in RNAcentral is "partial 16S ribosomal RNA". It matches the Rfam family "Bacterial small subunit ribosomal RNA", at positions 524 to 776 of the family's 1533-position model. The record is from RNAcentral.
UACGUAGGGUGCAAGCGUUGUCCGGAAUUAUUGGGCGUAAAGGGCUCGUAGGCGGUUUGUCGCGUCUGCUGUGAAAACGCGAGGCUCAACCUCGCGCCUGCAGUGGGUACGGGCAGACUAGAGUGCGGUAGGGGAGAUUGGAAUUCCUGGUGUAGCGGUGGAAUGCGCAGAUAUCAGGAGGAACACCGAUGGCGAAGGCAGAUCUCUGGGCCGUAACUGACGCUGAGGAGCGAAAGCGUGGGGAGCGAACAGG